This 497-nucleotide ribosomal RNA is filed under the name uncultured bacterium. RNAcentral describes it as "partial 16S ribosomal RNA". It matches the Rfam family "Bacterial small subunit ribosomal RNA", at positions 28 to 507 of the family's 1533-position model. The record is from RNAcentral.
GACGAACGCUGGCGGCGUGCCUAAUACAUGCAAGUUGAGCGAUGAAGAUUGGUGCUUGCACCAAUUUGAAGAGCAGCGCACGGGUGAGUAACGCGUGGGGAAUCUGCCUUUGAGCGGGGGACAACAUUUGGAAACGAAUGCUAAUACCGCAUAACAACUUUAAACAUAAGUUUUAAGUUUGAAAGAUGCAAUUGCAUCACUCAAAGAUGAUCCCGCGUUGUAUUAGCUAGUUGGUGAGGUAAAGGCUCACCAAGGCGAUGAUACAUAGCCGACCUGAGAGGGUGAGCGGCCACAUUGGGACUGAGACACGCCCCAAACGCCUACGGGAGGCAGCAGGAGGGAAUCGUCGGCAAGGGACGAAAGUCUGACCGAGCAACGCGGCGGGAGUGAGGAAGGGUGUCGGAUCGUAAAACUCGGUUGGUAGAGAAGAACGUUGGUGAGAGUGGAAAGCUCAUUAAGUGACGGUAACUACUCAGAAAGGGACGGCUAACUACGUG